GCCUCGAUGGCCAAGUGGUAAGGCGUCGGUCUCGUAAACCGAAGAUACUGGGUUCAAUCCCCAGUCGGGGCU
RNAcentral lists this transfer RNA (72 nucleotides) under Haliotis rufescens (red abalone). RNAcentral's name for it is "tRNA-Thr". It matches the Rfam family "tRNA". Rfam says of the family: Transfer RNA (tRNA) molecules are approximately 80 nucleotides in length. The record is from RNAcentral. Lineage: Eukaryota; Metazoa; Mollusca; Gastropoda; Lepetellida; Haliotidae.